Asparagus officinalis (garden asparagus) is the source of this 330-nucleotide long non-coding RNA. RefSeq lists it as uncharacterized. The record is from RefSeq and is a predicted model, not a curated record. Lineage: Eukaryota; Viridiplantae; Streptophyta; Magnoliopsida; Asparagales; Asparagaceae. The transcript has 3 exons.
GAAUGUUCGUAAUAGGUCAAAGUUGACAUAUCACCACAAAGCUGGGUCAAAAUCAUUUAUGUCACACCAAGAGCAAAUUGCAACACAGACUGGAGAGAUGCAAGGUGCAAUUGAUCGUUUUGAAAUAGAGUAUAGAAGUACAAAAAAAGGAUGAGACUUGGGAGCAAAGGAAAAAUGGGAUCAAAUGAUAAAGAUGCGAGCAGAUACCACUUAACCUGAUGGAACUCGAACAAUGACAGAUGAGGAAAUUUGUGCAAAAGUUCUCAAAGUCAAAUCAGUCUACAUUAAGGGCUGUGGUUUUGGCCCUAGACCACCACCAUUAAGGUUCUC